GUGUUAUGUGGUAGUGCUACAGCUGGCUGCUUCACCCGGAGACCAGCCGUUUGCCAAGUCCACUGUUGAGGCUUGAAGCCUCCCUUUCUACAACUUCUUUGCUGGAGACUGGGAAGCAGGUGUUUGUGCAAAAGCAAAGGGAGGACAACAUGAACAAAGAAAGCCCACACCUUGCCUGGGAGAAAAUGGUCAUUACACUCCAAGCCCCAAAGAUGAGGAAGCUGUGAUGAUCAUACUCACACUGAGAAACUCACUCGUCAGCAGGAAGAUAGAUUGCUGAGGGUGUUGGACUGAAGGCAGAGGGACCCGCUGGGAAGUCACUGCAAUUGUUGCCGUGAAAAAUGGCAAGAUGAAAGCAGGAAGCAGAAGGAAAUGAAUGCUGGGCUGUACCUAGCCUUCUUCUAUGCAGUCCUGGACUCAAGCCCAUGGAAAGGUGCUACACACACCUUAGGAGGUGUGGCCUUGUUGGGACAGGUAUGGCCUUGUUGGAGGAAGUAUGUCACUGUGGGGUGGGCUUUGAGACCCUCUUCCUAGCUGCCUGAAAGACAGGAGUCUUUCAGCUCCUGGCUUCUUUGGAUAAAGAUGAAGAACUCUCAGCUCCUUCUCCAGCACCAUGCCUGCCUGCACACUGCUUCCCACAUUGAUGAUAAUGGACUAAACCUUUGAACCUGUAAGCCAGU
Long non-coding RNA from Mastomys coucha (southern multimammate mouse), 680 nucleotides. RefSeq lists it as uncharacterized. The record is from RefSeq and is a predicted model, not a curated record. Lineage: Eukaryota; Metazoa; Chordata; Mammalia; Rodentia; Muridae. The transcript is spliced from 4 exons.